AUCGAUUCAAUAUUAACAUAUGCAAUCCAUAUUCAAAUUUCUCCAGUUGUCAGUAAAAAAAUCUGAUAAAGGUGGAGUUCCAGUCAUGGCUCAGUGGUUAACGAAUCUGACUAGGAAUCAUGAGGUUGAGGGUUCGAUCCCUAGCCUUGCUUGUCAGGUUCGUUUCCACCUCGCCGCCACAGGAACUCCCGUUUAGUCUGUUUUUGUAUGUGGCUAAUUCUGUUUUCUGGGAAAUACAAGUGGCGGUUGUUCUCAAACGUGAAGCCACCCAGUGAGAUUUUUAAAAUUCCAAGUGAUGGCUGUAUCCAAAAUCACUUAAAUCAGAAUUUCUGGGGAUGGCACCCAGGCACCAGUAUUUUUAGAAGUUCUCAGGGUACAAUGGGGAAAUUUGAGACCCAAACAUAAGGGGUUGGGUGAGUUCCUUAAUGAAAAUCAGCGUACAAUUAGAGAAACAGAAGAAAAAUGCCAUAGUCAAUAAUAUACAUUGUAGGGCUAUCAACUACUAAGUUAUACUUCAUAACAAACAUAAGAAAUCAAGUCUUGAAGAAUACUUUACGGAAACACAGAAGGAGAAAUAAAGCCUAGAAGAAUACUACUGUGUUUAUAGAGUAUGGACAAAGAAUGUCACCUGCCAUUUCAGUAAAUAAUAGAUGCUGUGGCCAAAAAGCGAUCAACCACUGCAGCCACCCCUACAGUGCACCCUGAGGGGAUUCAGGAUGGAGAAAAACAAGAUGAUGGCCCUGCAGAGUUAAGGUGCAUAUCAAAGGAAUGGUUUCAAUAAGCCCAGACUCUUGCAUCUUCCUAUACCUAAAAGCACUAAAAGCAUUAACUUGAGAUGUCUGUUUUCGUGAUUAGCAGUUGCAUUUUUUUAGAAAGAGAUGGGGAUCAUGUUAUUCAGAUUCGCAAUCCAAGGGUUCCCAAAGUACUAAAACUAAAAGUGUGAGGCCAAUCUCCUUUGCCCUCCCAGCCACUGGGGCUUUCUGCUGCUCUAACAGUUCAAACUUUUUCAUCCUUCGGAAAUUAUGCAUAUUUCGUUCCCAUUGUAUGGACAUAUCAUUUAAAUUGGGCAAGUUUUCUGAGUGAUAAUUCUCUAGGGAGGACACUAUCACCAAAUAUUAAGCAGGUCUUAUGUGAUCUGAUGAGAUGAAGUAAAGAGAAGGCACCAGCAUACCGGCUGAUUCCUGGGGAUCAAAAUCAAGCUUCUAUUUUCCUAAUUGGGGAAUCUACAUAUAAACAGGCUACACAGAUACUUGUAAGUGCAGUAUACACAAACUCAUGGAAUUUGUUAGUACCAAAGCUAAUAAUUAUCUUUUUUUGUACACAAUAGAGCACAUGGGUAAAAAAAUUCUGCCACCAGCAUUUUGUUCCUUAACACCAGACGGCUACACCUUUGAAAUUUUAUGCUGCAUGCAGAAGUUUAUAUACUACAAAAAAAGAAAAAAGAAAAAAAGGCAUUUUGCUUAACAACUUGGAUGUAGACACAUGCACUUGCG
RNAcentral lists this long non-coding RNA (1493 nucleotides) under Sus scrofa (pig). RNAcentral describes it as "lncRNA (ENSSSCG00005039743.1)". Lineage: Eukaryota; Metazoa; Chordata; Mammalia; Artiodactyla; Suidae. The record is from RNAcentral.